RNAcentral lists this ribosomal RNA (469 nucleotides) under uncultured bacterium. Its description in RNAcentral is "partial 16S ribosomal RNA". It matches the Rfam family "Bacterial small subunit ribosomal RNA", at positions 28 to 507 of the family's 1533-position model. The record is from RNAcentral.
GACGAACGCUGGCGGCGUGCUUAACACAUGCAAGUCGAACGGUGAAGCGAGUGCUUGCACUCGUGGAUCAGUGGCGAACGGGUGAGUAACACGUGAGUAACCUGCCCAUCACUCUGGGAUAAGCACUGGAAACGGUGUCUAAUACUGGAUACGACCAACCCUUGCAUGGGGUGUUGGUGGAAAGAUUUAUCGGUGAUGGAUGGACUCGCGGCCUAUCAGCUUGUUGGCGGGGUAAUGGCCCACCAAGGCGACGACGGGUAGCCGGCCUGAGAGGGUGACCGGCCACAGUGGGACUGAGAAACGGACCAGACUCCUACGGGAGGCAGCAGUGGGGAAUAUUGCACAAUGGGCGAAAGCCUGAUGCAGCGACGCCGCGUGAGGGAUGACGGACUUCGGGUUGUAAACCUCUUUCAGCAGGGAAGAAGCGAAAGUGACGGUACCUGCAGAAGAAGCACCGGCUAACUACGUG